AGCCACAUGGUGUAAUGGAUAACAUAUCUGAUGCUUUUGUGGAGAUGCUGGUUCGAUUCUGGCUGUGGCAA
This is a non-coding RNA of Polyporus arcularius HHB13444, 71 nucleotides long. The record is from the annotation of a GenBank genome assembly. Lineage: Eukaryota; Fungi; Basidiomycota; Agaricomycetes; Polyporales; Polyporaceae.